UACGUAGGGUGCGAGCGUUGUCCGGAAUUAUUGGGCGUAAAGAGCUCGUAGGCGGUGUGUCACGUCGGCCGUGAAAACCUGCAGCUUAACUGUGGGCGUGCGGUCGAUACGGGCAUCACUGGAGUUCGGUAGGGGAGACUGGAAUUCCUGGUGUAGCGGUGAAAUGCGCAGAUAUCAGGAGGAACACCGGUGGCGAAGGCGGGUCUCUGGGCCGAUAUUGACGCUGAGGAGCGAAAGCGUGGGGAGCAAACAGG
Molecule: ribosomal RNA, 254 nt
Filed under: uncultured bacterium
Lineage: Bacteria
Description: partial 16S ribosomal RNA
Rfam family: Bacterial small subunit ribosomal RNA
Source: RNAcentral